GCUGUUAAUGUGACUUCAUUAGAAUGACACUAGAUGCCGCUCUGUUUUUGUAGAUACAGAGACAGGCGAGCGAAGAAGUCUUGGGGUCCUGUUUCAUGUGUUUCUGGGAUACUGGCGGACUGACUGUGCUCUGAAUGUCAUGGCGAUCAACUGUCCCGAGGUUUCGUAACUGAUACGAAUCAAGAAGUCCACAACACAAAGUGAAAAUUGGGUUAACGCAUUUCGUGUCCGAUUUACAGAGCAAAGACUACAGAAAUAAUCACAAAAAUUAAGACUGGGAUUCAGUUAAAUCAGUUUUUGAAAUGGAGUGUGCUGUAAACACCGGUCCUGAUGAUGAGCCAUCUGAUACUGCUGUUCCGUAUGAAGCCAUUACUGUAAAGGAUGGGAGUGAGACCCCAAAAAAGAAAAACAAGAAACAUAAGAAACACAAAAGUAAGAAGAAACGUAAGAAGCGCAAGGGUGAAAAGGAGAGUAGCUCUGAAUCUGGAGUAGAGUCAGAUGGUGAUUCCCAAACAAGAACGAGUGUGAAAAAAGAUGGCUCAUCUAACCCUGAGGCUGAUGAUCAUGCGAAUGCCACAAAAAAUUGCACAGAAGACCUUAGUGAUGUGGAAGCUGAUGCCAAAGUUAAAAAACAGAAACAUCGUGUUGGGAAAAAGAAGAAAAAAAGAAGACGGAAAGAGGAGGAAAAGCAGGAGGUCCUAAAAAAGUCCUCAUCUCGCUCAAGAUCGGCAAGUACCUCAGCGUCAGGGUCAGAAUCAGAACCAGACUCCAAACAAUCACAAAAAUUGCAGGUGGCAUCUUUAAAGUUGGACAGGAAGUCACCUAUCACUGCAGCUACAUUUCCAAAAGACAAAUUUAAAGAUAGCACACCCCAAUUGGAAGAUGAAAUGACUUCUGAUCACACUGAAGAAGUAAGUUUAAAAUUAGAAGGGAUAAGAAAGAUGUCUCCUGAGACUGCACAUGCACUAAUUGCAGAGAGGGACAUAAAAGUGGAAGCUGUUGGUGAACAUGAAAGUUUUGGUAAAGUGCAAGAACUUCCUGAUAUUAUUCCUAAGCAAGAGAAUGUGCACAAAGAGCAAGCUGUGCAGAAGGACAUCUCAAAGGAAGCAAAUGGGAAUCAGAAAGAAAAGAAAAAACAGUCCCUCUCCAGGUCAAGGUCACGAUCGCUUUCAGACACUAAAGGGAAAAAAUCUAAACACAGUCGCUCUAGAACUCCAAAGCAGUCAUCUGGUAAAUCAGGACGUCAUAAUGACAGAUCAUCUUCAAGGGACAGGUCUGUGUCUGCCUCUGGUGGGAAGGAUCGAAUAAAAAUAAGCUCCAGGUCUCCAUCAAAAUGGUCACCGUCUAAAGUAACAAAGAAAACUGGACGCAGGUCAAGGUCGCUCUCUGGAAGAAGAGCAUAUCGCUCCGACUCAAGGUCCCGCACAAGGACCAAAAAAUCGAGGACUAGGUCUCCACGACGUGGUCAUCGCUCAAGAUCUAGGUCAACUGGAAGACCAAGACGUUCACACUCAAGAUCAAAACAAUCUGUUUCUCGGCGGAAGAAUCGGCGCUCAAGAUCACGGUCCAGAUCUGUACGGAGAGGAAGACACUCAAGGUCCCACUCUCGAAAGAGGACGCCUGUUUCUCGGGCAAGGCGGUCCAGGUCUAGAUCUGUCAAAAGAGCAAGGCGAACACGCUCAAGAUCCGUUGUGAUUCUUAGGCGAUCUAGAUCAAGAAGAAACAGAAGAUCUAGAUCAAGAUCCGCUCGUAGAAGAUCAGGUUCAGGAAGCCCAAGACGUCAAAGUAAGUCUCGGUCCCCUCAACGCUCCAGGCCCUCUGAGUCACGUUCUCCUGCAGCCCGUCAAAGGAGGUCAAAAUCUAGGAGCCCUCAUAGCACAAAGUCAGAGUCAGUAUCUCCUCAACGACGUAAAAGAUCAAAGUCACGGACAUCUUCACAUAAUUCAAAGUCUGAAUCCCCAAAAUUAAGAAGAAUUAAAAAGCAAAAAAGUAAACGGUCACGGUCAGUUUCUCAGAGACGCACAUCAAGAUCAAGAUCUAUUUCCAGGGAGCGACAGUCAUCAGAUAGAAGUAUAUCCCCUACCAAGAAAGCACACUCUAAAUCUCAGACUAAAGAGGAAAAGUCCUUAAAGGAUAAGAGUUCAAAAGAAACCUCGGAGACUAAACAGCAAAUUGUGGAUGUUGUGGAGGAAAAUUUAGAAGUUAAAGGGACAGCAGAGUCAAGUCAAUGGAAACCAGUGUCUACUGAAUGUACAUCUGUGCAAAAUCCAUCAAAUGAAGACAUAACAUCAUCAGAAUGUGACACACAAAGUAAAAAAAUCAAGGAAGAGUCUGAAAAUCCCUCUGAAUGUGAAGGAAGACCAAACCGAUCCAGAUCUUUGUCCUCAGAGCCAGUUCGUCUACAUGGUACUGCAAGAUCAGAUGAAGAUGAUCGAUCAGGGGGCUCACGAUCACCUACACCAAGUAAAGUAAAAGAAUCAAAGUCCUCCAACAAAACGUCACCUGUUCGAAGAAAGCGCUCCAGAUCAAUUUCGUCCACACAGAAAAGGCGAUCCAAGUCGAAAUCUGUCAGUAGCAAGAGGAGGUCAAGGUCUCCCAUUAGAAAACGCAAGUCCAGGUCUCCCUCACAUAGUCGUAAAAGGAGGACGAAAUCUCGGUCACCUGUUCGGAAAAGAAGAUCAAGAUCAACCAAUCGAAGGGCAAAAUCUAGAUCGAAAUCUCACACAAGAACAAAGUGCUCAAAAUCGAAAUCCCCCAAGCGGAAACGGUCAAAGUCAAGAUCGCCAGCUCGAAAAAGGAGGUCCAAGUCACGUUCCCCUGCUAGAAAGAGAAGAUCUCGUUCACGGUCAAGGGCUCGUCAGUCACGAUCCAGAAGAUCACGCUCUGUUUCACGUCGUCGGAGACCAGCAUUUCGUGGGCGAUCUUUUGAUAGACGAGAUCGAUGGAAACGUGAACCAAGCCACUCACCAAUUUUGAUUCUCCGUAAGAGGAGGUCCACCUCAAGACGCAGUUGUAGCAAGACGCCACCACGUCUUACUGACCUAGAUAAAGAUCAACUGUUGGAGAUUGCGAAGGCUAAUGCUGCUGCAAUGUGUGCUAAAGCUGGAAUGCCCAUACCUGAAAGUCUCAAGCCGAAGGCAAUUCUACAGUUACCUCUGCCAACCCCAGUUCCAGCCCCCUUGUCUUUGCCUCUGCCAUUGCCUGUGCCCAAUUUACCUAUGAAUCUGCCCAUGGGUAUACCAGGUAUGCCUGCAAUGCCAAACAUGACAAUGAACGCUGCCAUGGCAAGUAUGACUGCGGCGACAAUGACUGCUGCUCUCUCAAACAUGGGUGCCCUGGCCUCUAUGCCUCCAAUGCCCCCACUUCCUACCAUUAUCAACAAGCCCCCUUCAGCACCCACACCUAAUCUGGCCAGUAUUGAGGAGGUGAAGAGGAAAGUGGCUCAACAAGCUAACAGCAUUAGCAUCAAGGAGUUUACAGAGAAAUGUAAACAGAUUGCAGAGAGUAAGGAGGAGAUGAGUAUUGCACGGCCACAUGUUUCAGAUGAUGAUGAUGAGACACGGUAACCCACUGUCAUUCUGCUGCAUCUCAUAUAUAGUCCUGAUGAUGGACACCUGUGGCUCGCAUUUGUGAUAAAGGAUGAUCUCCGUCAUGUAAAUUAAGCUUUUGUUUGCUCACAGAAGGACAUUUGAGCAUCUGGACAAUUGAAGCUACAUUGAUUUCAGUUAUCUUUAAAUUGUCAGUUGUUGGAACAGCUGCAAGCUACAGGAAUCUUUUUUUUUUUUUACCAUAGACUAAAAACUACCAGAGUAAACCAUUCAGUAUGUCUAAAAGUGGAACUAAGGAGGUAAAGUGUAAAACAGACAUACUAUCUGCCCAGACUGACAGUGAAACGUUUCGCUUUCAGGCUUGUUUUUACCUUUACUACAUAUGGUGCUUCUUGAUACCAUGAAGAAGGACCUCUGGUAGAUUUAACUCAGUUAUAGGUGUACCUAAAAGAAGAAACAGAUUUUGGGGUGCAGUUUAGAUCACAAGUCAGGUCUGUUGGUACACACUUUCAGAGCUUUCUGUUAAAGUGUUAGUUCACCCAAAAAUUUAAAUUGUCAUUAAUUAAUUACUCACUCUCAUGUCAUUCCAAACCCAUAAGACCUUCGUUCAUCUUCGGAAUGCAAAUUAAGAUAUUUUUGAUGGAAUCUUGAGAGCUGUCUGACCCAGCAUAGACAGCAACGCAACUGAAAUGUUCCCAAGUCCAGAAACGUAGCAAGGAGAUAGGUAAAAUAAUCCAUGUGACAUCAGUGGUUCAACCUCAAUUAUACAAAGCUACGAGAAUACUUUUUGUGCGCAAAAAAAUAAAAAAAUAACUUCUUUAUUCAACAAUUCAUCUCCUCCGCAUCACCCUGUAGCGCCAUUUUUGAGAGUAUCUGCAUUAAGAUAUUUUUGAUGGAAUCUUGAGAGCUGUCUGACCCAGCAUAGACAGCAACGCAACUGAAAUGUUCCCAAGUCCAGAAACGUAGCAAGGAGAUAGGUAAAAUAAUCCAUGUGACAUCAGUGGUUCAACCUCAAUUAUACAAAGCUACGAGAAUACUUUUUGUGCGCAAAAAAAUAAAAAAAUAACUUCUUUAUUCAACAAUUCAUCUCCUCCGCAUCACCCUGUAGCGCCAUUUUGGAGAGUAUCUGCUGGACGUAAACAACGUAUGCUGUUCUGUGUCAGCUGCGUCACACGGAUAUGCUGUUUUCGUUCAGAUCAAAUCACAACAACGUAGGAAACAGGAUCCGGCGUGACGCAGCUGACACAGAACAGCAUACGCUGUUUACGUCCAGCUGAUACUCUCCAAAAUGUCGCUACAGGGUGAUGCGGAGGAGACGAAUUGUUGAAUAAAGUCGUUUUUUCUUUUCUUUUGCGCACAAAAAGUUUUCUCGUAGCUUCGUAUAAUUGCGGUUGAACCACUGAUGUCAAAUGGAUUAUUUUACCGAUGUCCUUGCUACAUUUCUGGACUUGGGAACAUUUCAGUUGCGUUGCUGUCUAUGCAGGGUCAGACAGCUCUCAAGAUUCCAUCAAAAAUAUCUUAAUUUGUGUUCCGAAGAUGAACGAAGGUCGUACGGGUUUGAAACGGCAUGAGGGUGAGUGAAUAUUGACAGAAUUUUCAUUUUUGGUUGAACUAACCCUUUAACAUACAGAGACAUGAUUAUUUUAGGAGUAUUUUUUUUUUCCCCGUCUUUUAAAAUUCAUGAAGUGUUAAUCACUUGUUUAAAUACAUUGGUGAAGAGAAUUGUGUUUUUUCCUUAACACUUUUGUGAACUUUUAAAGCAAAUUAAAUGUUGAGGUUCAGAGUUGUGGCUGUACUUGACUGCUAUACUUAACAGAUGUUGUUUGCAUUGAUGUGCAUUGUAAGGGUUCUGACCACAGACUUUUUUAGUUACAUCGGUUAAACCUUGCUGUGCUGCUUGCCGGUAACUGACAUUGUGGUCUGUCUUUAUCUAAAAAAUAUCACAGAUACUCAUUGAUGAAAUUAAGUUUUUUUUUCUCAUUUUUUAGUCGAUCAUAUAGUGCAUCCUUGUAAAUGACAGACCAUGAUGCGGUUGUGUGGUAUACAAUGCUGUUUUAUCUUUGUGACUGAAAUAUUUGACCCAGCAUAGCUGCAGGGUGGGAUGCUGUAUUUUCAGGAGUGAGAACGUCACCCAUCACUAUUCUAGAUAAGGGGUGAUUAAAAUGCAUAUGAUUUGCAUAAGAUUAUUGUUUAGACACAUGUACUGUAUAUUGUGUAGGUGUGCAUUUUUUUCAGUUUUGUUUUUUUCCUCUCCCCUCCACUGUGUUCUAUGGUGGAGACCCCUUUACCAAUUGAACUAAAAAGAAAUAUGAUGAUGGCACAGCUCCUACUAAUUCACUUAAAAAAAUAUUUAACUAAAGAUUAAUGGUUAAAGAGUAUGUUCAACAUGAUGGGAUGUUCCGUGCUACAUUAGCUUUAGAUUUGGCACUGUAUUGUCCACAUUUAAGAAAUGAUACCAACUUCUGUCCAGAACUGCUUUACACUUUAUUAAAUUAAUAUUAACAACAGAUUUCAAACUGGAAAUGUAAAGCAUUGUGAAUUAUAGUUUUUAAUUUUGCCAUUAUUGUUCAUUUUAAGGGACAGUUCGGCCAAAAAUGAAAAUUGUCAUUUACGCACCCUCAUGUUGUUCCAAACCUGUAUGACUUACUUUCUGCAGAACACAAAAUAAGAUUUUGAAGGUUUGGAUAAACAUGAGGGUGAGUAAAUGAUGAUAGAAUGUUAAUUUCUGAACUAUCUCUUUAAUUAGAAAACUCGCAUUAUGAAAUGAGUUUGGCCAUGUUGAAGUCUCCUUAAGGAUAGUAUAAAAAAGUUCUUCUACAUCUAAGGUACAAACCCACAUUACUUGCAUAAAAUGUGAAACAUCCUCAGUUUUGACAGCAUUUUUAUCCUUUCCAUCACAUUGUGAAAUAUAAUGGCACACACUUUGUAUAUAAUGCAACUUCAAAUAUUAAAGGAAACAAUCUACAUGACUUUUGAAAAUGUGUUUUCUUUAAUAACCAGUUAUAUUGGAAAAAGGUUUGUCACUUAUUAAAUCUAUAGAAAUAUCAUUGUGUCUGAUUUAAUCUGAUUUCAUUUAAGCCUUACAGUACAAUUGACCUCAUUUCAGUUUGUUCUCUUUAUGAUGUCAAAGAAAGUAUGUACCAGUGAUUAACG
Molecule: long non-coding RNA, 6701 nt
Organism: Sinocyclocheilus anshuiensis
Lineage: Eukaryota; Metazoa; Chordata; Actinopteri; Cypriniformes; Cyprinidae
Product: serine/arginine repetitive matrix protein 2-like
Source: Ensembl